GCCGGGGUGGCGGAACAGGUAGACGCAGUGGACUCAAAAUCCACCGGUACUCUGGUACUGUGCGGGUUCGAGUCCCGCCCCCGGCACCA
This 89-nucleotide transfer RNA is filed under the name Acetomicrobium sp. RNAcentral's name for it is "tRNA-Leu". It matches the Rfam family "tRNA". Rfam says of the family: Transfer RNA (tRNA) molecules are approximately 80 nucleotides in length. Their secondary structure includes four short double-helical elements and three loops (D, anti-codon, and T loops). The record is from RNAcentral. Lineage: Bacteria; Thermotogati; Synergistota; Synergistia; Synergistales; Acetomicrobiaceae.